Molecule: ribosomal RNA, 459 nt
Filed under: uncultured bacterium
Lineage: Bacteria
Description: partial 16S ribosomal RNA
Rfam family: Bacterial small subunit ribosomal RNA
Source: RNAcentral
CCUACGGGUGGCAGCAGUGAGGAAUAUUGGUCAAUGGGAGGAAGCCUGAACCAGCCAAGCCGCGUGAGGGAAGAAGGCGCUAUGCGUCGUAGACCUCUUUUGUCGGGGGACAAAAGCCGGGACUCGUCCCGGACUGCGGGUACCCGGAGAAAAAGCAUCGGCUAACUCCGUGCCAGCAGCCGCGGUAAUACGGAGGAUGCGAGCGUUAUCCGGAUUUAUUGGGUUUAAAGGGUGCGCAGGCGGGCCGUUAAGUCAGCGGUAAAAUCGCGGGGCUCAACCCCGCCGAGCCGUCGAAACUGGGGGCCUUGAGUGGGGCAGAGGCAUGCGGAAUGCGCGGUGUAGCGGUGAAAUGCAUAGAUAUCGCGCAGAACCCCGAUUGCGAAGGCAGCGUACCGGGGCGACACUGACGCUGAGGCACGAAAGCGCGGGGAUCGAACAGGAUUAGAUACCCGAGUAGUC